RNAcentral lists this ribosomal RNA (559 nucleotides) under uncultured Tomentella. RNAcentral describes it as "eukaryotic LSU rRNA". The stretch from base 190 to 344 matches the Rfam family "5.8S ribosomal RNA". The record is from RNAcentral. Lineage: Eukaryota; Fungi; Basidiomycota; Agaricomycetes; Thelephorales; Thelephoraceae.
CUGGUCCUCAAUGGGGGCAUGUGCACGCUCUGUUUACAUACCCACUCACACCUGUGCACCCUCUGUAGUUCUGUGGUGUGGGGGGCUCUGUCCUCCCACUGUGGUUCUACGUCUUUACACACACACACACACACACACACAGUGACAAAGUCUCAUAGAAUGUAUGUCGCGUUUAACGCAAUACAAUACAACUUUCAGCAACGGAUCUCUUGGCUCUCGCAUCGAUGAAGAACGCAGCGAAAUGCGAUAAGUAAUGUGAAUUGCAGAAUUCAGUGAAUCAUCGAAUCUUUGAACGCACCUUGCGCCCUUUGGCUAUUCCGAAGGGCAUGCCUGUUUGAGUAUCAUGAACACCUCAACUCUCAUGGUUUGCCAUGAUGAGCUUGGACUUUGGGGGUCUUGCUGGCCUAUGGGUCGGCUCCUCUCAAACAAAUCAGCUUGCCAGUGUUUGGUGGCAUCACAGGUGUGAUAACUAUCUACGCUUGUGGUUUUCCAUCAGGUAACCUUCAGUGAUGGAGGUUCGCUGGGGCUCAUAAAUGUCUCUCCUCAGUGAGGACAGCUU